This 590-nucleotide ribosomal RNA is filed under the name uncultured bacterium. RNAcentral's name for it is "partial 16S ribosomal RNA". It matches the Rfam family "Bacterial small subunit ribosomal RNA", at positions 355 to 1375 of the family's 1533-position model. The record is from RNAcentral.
UGGGGAAUUUUGGACAAUGGGCGAAAGCCUGAUCCAGCAAUGCCGCGUGUGUGAAGAAGGCCUUCGGGUUGUAAAGCACUUUUGUCCGGAAAGAAAUCCUUGGCUCUAAUACAGUCGGGGGAUGACGGUACCGGAAGAAUAAGCACCGGCUAACUACGUGCCAGCAGCCGCGGUAAUACGUAGGGUGCAAGCGUUAAUCGGAAUUACUGGGCGUAAAGCGUGCGCAGGCGGUUUGCUAAGACCGAUGUGAAAUCCCCGGGCUCAACCUGGGAACUGCAUUGGUGACUGGCAGGCUAGAGUAUGGCAGAGGGGGGUAGAAUUCCACGUGUAGCAGUGAAAAUGCGUAGAGAUGUGGAGGAAUACCGAUGGCGAAGGCAGCCCCCUGGGCCAAUACUGACGCUCAUGCACGAAAAGCGUGGGGAGCAAAACAGGAUUAGAUACCCUGGUAGUCCACGCCCUAAAACGAUGUCAACUAGUUGUUGGGGAUUCAUUUCCUUAGUAACGUAGCUAACGCGUGAAGUUGACCGCCUGGGGAGUACGGUCGCAAGAUUAAAAACUCAAAGGAAUUGACGGGGUCAUAGCUGUUUCCU